RNAcentral lists this ribosomal RNA (482 nucleotides) under uncultured bacterium. Its description in RNAcentral is "partial 16S ribosomal RNA". It matches the Rfam family "Bacterial small subunit ribosomal RNA", at positions 30 to 507 of the family's 1533-position model. The record is from RNAcentral.
AUUGAACGCUGGCGGCAUGCCUUACACAUGCAAGUCGAACGGUAACAGGUCUUCGGAUGCUGCCGAGUGGCGAACGGGUGAGUAAUACAUCGGAACGUGCCCGAUCGUGGGGGAUAACGAAGCGAAAGCUUUGCUAAUACCGCAUACGAUCUACGGAUGAAAGCAGGGGACCGCAAGGCCUUGCGCGAACGGAGCGGCCGAUGGCAGAUUAGGUAGUUGGUGGGAUAAAAGCUUACCAAGCCGACGAUCUGUAGCUGGUCUGAGAGGACGACCAGCCACACUGGGACUGAGACACGGCCCAGACUCCUACGGGGGGCAGCAGUGGGGAAUUUUGGACAAUGGGCGAAAGCCUGAUCCAGUCAUGCCGCGUGCAGGAUGAAGGCCUUCGGGUUGUAAACUGCUUUUGUACGGAACGAAAAGACUCUGGUUAAUACCUGGGGUCCAUGACGGUACCGUAAGAAUAAGCACCGGCUAACUACGUG